GUGCCAGCAGCCGCGGUAAUACGGGGGGGGUAAGCGUUAUCCGGAUUUACUGGGUGUAAAGGGAGCGUAGACGGCCAUUCAAGCCAGAUGUGAAAGCCCGGGGCUCACCCCCGGGACUGCAUUUGGAACUGUGUGGCUAGAGUGUCGGAGAGGCAGGCGGAAUUCCUAGUGUAGCGGUGAAAUGCGUAUAUAUUAGGAGGAACACCAGUGGCGAAGGCGGCCUGCUGGACGAUGACUGACGUUGAGGCUCGAAAGCGUGGGGAGCAAACAGGAUUAAAUACCCUGGUACUCCACGCCGUAAACGAUGACUACUAGGUGGCGGGUGGCAAAGCCAUUCGGUGCCGCAACAAACGCAAUAAGUACUCCACCUGGGGAGUACGUUCGCAAGAAUGAAACUCAAAAGAAUUGACGGGGACCCGCACAAGCGGUGGAGCAUGUUGUUUAUUUCGAAGCAACGCAAAAAACCUUACUUGAUCUUGACCUCCCCCUGACUGCUCUGUAGUGGGAGCCUUCCUUCAGGACAGGAGAGACAGGUGGUGCAUGGUUGUCGUCACCUCGUGUCGAAAGAUGUUGGGGUUAAGUCCCGCACCGAGCGCAACCCUUAUCUUUAUUACCCACAGUAUGGAUGGCCCCUCCUAGAAAGACUGCCAAGGGAAUAACCUGAAAGAAGGGGGGGAGAAGGACAA
RNAcentral lists this ribosomal RNA (686 nucleotides) under uncultured bacterium. Its description in RNAcentral is "bacterial SSU rRNA". It matches the Rfam family "Bacterial small subunit ribosomal RNA", at positions 505 to 1188 of the family's 1533-position model. The record is from RNAcentral.